RNAcentral lists this ribosomal RNA (467 nucleotides) under uncultured bacterium. RNAcentral's name for it is "partial 16S ribosomal RNA". It matches the Rfam family "Bacterial small subunit ribosomal RNA", at positions 28 to 507 of the family's 1533-position model. The record is from RNAcentral.
GACGAACGCUGGCGGCGUGCUUAACACAUGCAAGUCGAACGGAAAGGCUCCAGCUUGCUGGAGUUCUCGAGUGGCGAACGGGUGAGUAACACGUGGGUAAUCUGCCCUGAACUCUGGGAUAAGCCUGGGAAACUGGGUCUAAUACUGGAUAUGACCUUUCUCCUUAUGGGGUUUGGUGGAAAGUUUUUCGGUGUAGGUUGAGCCCGCGGCCUAUCAGCUUGUUGGUGGGGUGAUGGCCUACCAAGGCGACGACGGGUAGCCGGCCUGAGAGGGUGAUCGGCCACAUUGGGACUGAGAUACGGCCCAGACUCCUACGGGAGGCAGCAGUGGGGAAUAUUGCACAAUGGGCGGAAGCCUGAUGCAGCGACGCCGCGUGAGGGAUGACGGCCUUCGGGUUGUAAACCUCUUUCAGCAGGGACGAAGCGUAAGUGACGGUACCUGCAGAAGAAGCACCGGCUAACUAUGUG